RNAcentral lists this long non-coding RNA (2215 nucleotides) under Helianthus annuus (common sunflower). The record is from RNAcentral. Lineage: Eukaryota; Viridiplantae; Streptophyta; Magnoliopsida; Asterales; Asteraceae.
UUUUUACUCCAAACAACAAUAACAAAAUUACAAAUAUUAGACUUAGAGAGAGAGAGAGAAAGCUAUCUACGAGAGAGGAAGCCGGCAACCUAACGGUGAGCAGCCGGAUUCGGUCACAACCUACUAGACCUCAAGUGAGGAAUCCGAUGCUGGUGACGAUCCCUCACCGUCGCUACAGCUUCGUUUCUCGCCGUCGUCUACACCUAUUCUCCCCACUUAAUUUCAGUCUUUUCCUUGAAACCUAGAGAGAUAUGAACAAGUGGGAGAACGGAAAAAGAAGAGAGACGCAAUUUCUUAGGAUCUUUUCCACGUCGGAUGACGUUUUUUUUGUUUCUUCGAUUAGGUUUUCUGGACUUCUACUUCUUUAGGGUUUAGGCUCAGUUGUUGUUCUUCUUAACCUGGAUUCUGUCUGGUUUGUUUAUUGGGUUAUUUUAUACGAUUCUGGAUUUGUUAUCAUUCAGAAUUAGUGUAGGUUUUUGGCUAUUUGUUUGCUGUUUAAUGGCAUUUUUUUGCUUUUGGUUGAAUGUGGGUGGUCUUCUCUGUUGAUUAGAAUGGUUGCUACUUUAGAAGAAAUCGAAGCAGCAGAAGGCAAAAAGUUAGAACAACAACUGUAUGCUAGAGAAGCUCUUUUGUACCAAGAAUGCCAAAUGGAAAAAGUGGUUGAAGAGUCUAAGAAACUGAAGCUAGUAGCAGAGGGAAAUUCUAAGCUAUGUGACAUUAAGCCCUUUGUUAUGCAUAAAAACCAACUAUUUUAAUUUUCCAGGUUAUGAAUUCUUUUAAUUUGUAUUUUAGUUGCAAGAAAUCCUGACGGAUCGUGGCCAUGUGAUUGAUAUUUUACACUAAGUCUCGGUUAUUCUUAUGAGUAAUAUUUUUUCUUUUUACUCAUUUGACCCUUAAGUGAAUCCUACUAUCGCGACCACUCUUUUCUAGCCAAACAUCAUCAAUCAUAGGCUCCCCAAAUUCAUCUUUCAGGAUCACCACACCACCUUUCGAGUAUGAGACAGAGACACAUAAGACUCCAAAGAAGAGUUCGGAUUCAGAACAUGGUGAUUCUUAUGGGGUUCUUGACAAGAGUUCAAGGCUAGAUGGAUAACCCAAGUCUCCUCAUAUAGAAAGUGGGAAUUCUACCAUUGGUGAAGAAAAAAAGGGUGAUGAUGAACUUAAGGGGCCUUUAGAUGAUGAUGAAUGGGAGCUAUUUAACAAUGGUAACCUUUUGGUUAGAUGAUGAUGGAUUGAACAUAAGAAGAGAGGCGUGUUACUGUUUAUUUGCCUUUUAUGCUAUUAAAAACAAGUAGAUUUUUGAAUUAUGUACUAAAAAAAACAAAAAAAUAAAAUAAAUGUUAUUUUAACCGGUGCUCUUACUAUGAUUUUGUUUGUAUGAAGUUUGCUAUCUUCUAGAACCAGGCCAACCAUAAGGAAACGAGUCUAAAUCCGAGGCCACAAGGCUGAGCCGGGUGGGGUAACGAACCAGGACGGACUUGGGUCAUAAUGGGUCACUUCAAGGGUGACGCACUUGUGCUAGGAACCCAUGUCUGAUUUGCAGCCACUUACGGAUAGACGGCUAAAGUAACCAUAAUAUGUAGGUGUCAAAGUCAAAGAGGGAGCUGUUGGCAUUGGAAGAGCGGAUUGGUAACGUGAACACUUGGUUGACUGAAGAAUACAAUUAUAAACACCUGAAUCAGAAAACGUACGCGAGUGUAUCGGUUGACCUAGAUGCCGAAGAUAGCUGCAUAUGUUAGGUACCCCUAUUGUUUUAUACUUUUUAUUCUCGACGAAAAUGUUAGUUUGGUUCGUUUGGGUGUAAAUUUUGAUGUCUUAUUAGGAAGAAUAGAAUGGGAGCAUUAGAUUGUGUGCAUAAGCUCAUCAAACAAUCGUUGCUUCAGAAGAACGUGUCUCUUGUCUACAAGUAUACGGCUUCAAAAUGAGACUUAAAAUGAGGUUUUUUUUUUAAAGAAAACAAUUACUUCAUCAUGCUGGAUUGGAUCAAGAAAUGUGAAUAAACCUAAGAUGGAGCUGGUAAUGUUUUUCACGCAGAUAGUAUUCUUCAAAUAUGAAGUAUGUUUUUAACUAAAAAUGGGUUUCAAGAAAGCUUUCUAUUUUUGACGUCUCCGUUUGGUUAUCUUUGCGGUUUUGUUGUGUUUAACUUUGAGGUUUCUCUUUUAUUAACGUCAUGUUUUUUUCAAGUAUCGUAAUGAACAUAACAGGAUACCGUUAU